RNAcentral lists this ribosomal RNA (242 nucleotides) under uncultured bacterium. Its description in RNAcentral is "partial 16S ribosomal RNA". It matches the Rfam family "Bacterial small subunit ribosomal RNA", at positions 336 to 595 of the family's 1533-position model. The record is from RNAcentral.
CGCCUACGGGGGGCAGCAGUGGGGAAUAUUGCACAAUGGGGGAAACCCUGAUGCAGCGACGCCGCGUGAGCGAUGAAGUAUUUCGGUAUGUAAAGCUCUCUCCGCAGGGGAGACACUGACGGUACCUGACUAAGACGCCCCGGCUCACUACGUGCCAGUAGCCGCGGUCAUACGUAGGGGGCAAGCGUUAUCCGGAUUUACUGGGUGUAAAGUGCGCGUAGACGGUCCUGCAAGCCAGAUGU